Molecule: transfer RNA, 93 nt
Filed under: Gammaproteobacteria bacterium
Lineage: Bacteria; Pseudomonadati; Pseudomonadota; Gammaproteobacteria
Description: tRNA-Leu
Source: RNAcentral
GUGCUCGUGGUGGAACGGCAGACACGGCAGGCUCAAACCCUGUUGACGGCAUUGUGGCCCGCAUGGGCCAUGAGAAUCCGUCCGAGCACACCA